AAAAUUUUAAGUUAAANCAAACUAGUAAUUUUCAAAAUUAUAAUUAAACUUUUCAGUUUAAAUUUUA
RNAcentral lists this transfer RNA (67 nucleotides) under Bemisia tabaci. RNAcentral describes it as "tRNA-Trp". Lineage: Eukaryota; Metazoa; Arthropoda; Insecta; Hemiptera; Aleyrodidae. The record is from RNAcentral.